UUGCUGAGCUGGCGUGGUUAACUGAACCGCGGUUAUCAAUUUUUAAUUUAAAAAAAAUAUAUCACACGAAGGAGUGAAAUUAGGUUUGAGUUUCAAAUAUUUCAUUUUUUCCCCCAAAGCUUUUUCCUCUCCUCCUCUCCCACGCUGCUCCUCCCCCCACUCUCACCUUAGGCCUCCGCCCAUCACCAUCGCCGUCGCCUCCGAACGCCACCCAUCCAAAACCAGUCGCAUCACCAGCUCGAAAUCCGGCCGACCUCCUCUCGCCAAAACGACCGGCAACGCCCGCCAUCCAAAAACCGGCAAGUCACCAGCUCAAAAAUCCGGCCGAACGCCAACACCGGCAUCAAGGAGUAGGGGGCUUUGGUAAUGACGGGGCUGCUUUUGGCUCCUUAAAUAUGGAUCAGCAGAUGACUGGCAGAUUCUCAGCACCUGCUACUCCAAAUCCUUUCUCAUCUGUUGGUGGUAACCCAUUUGGAUAAAAUAUGAUGAAAAGGAAAGCCUUUUUGACCCCAUUUAGGUCAAGCAUCAUCUUGUUGCUCCCUGCCAAAGUUGCUGGGUGUAAAGUUUUGGUGUCUAUGUUGUGGUAGUUUUGAGUUAUCCAGGCCGAGGAGAGAUUUGUUCUCUUCACCCCCGGGGCAAAAGUCAAAUGUCACAUGGCCAUGUAAGAUUUGUUUGAUGCUGUAAAAGAAUGAAUGAGAUAGGGGGAGCAUGGGGUGAUACAUGUGUUUGUUUGCUGCCCCUAGAAGCUGCAUUAUUUCUCUCUGUUGUAUUGUAUGAUUUUGCCAUUUCUUCAUCAUUGUGGUGAGCUCUUCGAGUCUGGAAAUUUAGGAAACAAAAAAUAAAUUAUGUUAUGGUGGAGUGAAGUUGUAUUCUAGUACUACUGAAUUUAGAGAUGAUUUUUCUUCCA
This is a long non-coding RNA of Alnus glutinosa, 907 nucleotides long. RefSeq lists it as uncharacterized. The record is from RefSeq and is a predicted model, not a curated record. The transcript has 2 exons. NCBI's taxonomy places the organism in Eukaryota, Viridiplantae, Streptophyta, Magnoliopsida, Fagales, Betulaceae.